This 494-nucleotide ribosomal RNA is filed under the name uncultured bacterium. RNAcentral's name for it is "partial 16S ribosomal RNA". It matches the Rfam family "Bacterial small subunit ribosomal RNA", at positions 28 to 507 of the family's 1533-position model. The record is from RNAcentral.
GACGAACGCUGGCGGCGUGCUUAACACAUGCAAGUCGAACGGAAAGGCCUGCUUUCCCUUGUGGAUUGCGGGUACUCGAGUGGCGAACGGGUGAGUAACACGUGAGUGAUCUGCCCCCAACUUGGGUAUAAGCCUGGGAAACUGGGUCUAAUUCCCGAUAGGACUGCAGGGUGGUGCCUGUGGUGGAAAACGAUUUUCUAGUGGUUGGGGAUGAGCUCGCGGCCUAUCAGCUUGUUGGUGGGGUAAUGGCCUACCAAGGCGGCGACGGGUAGCCGGCCUGAGAGGGUGGACGGCCACAUUGGGACUGAGAUACGGCCCAGACUCCGACGGGAGGCAGCAGUGGGGAGUAUUGGACAAUGGGCGGAAGCCUGAGGCAGCGACGCCGCGUGGGGGAUGACGGCCUUCGGGUUGUAAACUCCUUUCGACCGCGAGGAAGCCACCUGGUUGGAAGGGUGGUGACGGUAGUGGUAGAAGAAGCACCGGCUAACUACGUG